AGAGUUUGAUCCUGGCUCAGGAUGAACGCUGGCGGCGUGCCUAAUACAUGCAAGUCGAGCGAACGGAUGAGAAGCUUGCUUCUCUGAUGUUAGCGGCGGACGGGUGAGUAACACGUGGAUAACCUACCUAUAAGACUGGGAUAACUUCGGGAAACCGGAGCUAAUACCGGAUAAUAUUUUGAACCGCAUGGUUCAAAAGUGAAAGACGGUCUUGCUGUCACUUAUAGAUGGAUCCGCGCUGCAUUAGCUAGUUGGUAAGGUAACGGCUUACCAAGGCAACGAUGCAUAGCCGACCUGAGAGGGUGAUCGGCCACACUGGAACUGAGACACGGUCCAGACUCCUACGGGAGGCAGCAGUAGGGGAUCUUCCGCAAUGGGCGAAAGCCUGACGGAGCAACGCCGCGUGAGUGAUGAAGGUCUUCGGAUCGUAAAACUCUGUUAUUAGGGAAGAACAUAUGUGUAAGUAACUGUGCACAUCUUGACGGUACCUAAUCAGAAAGCCACGGCUAACUACGUGCCAGCAGUCGCGGUAAUACGUAGGUGGCAAGCGUUAUCCGGAAUUAUUGGGCGUAAAGCGCGCGUAGGCGGUUUUUUAAGUCUGAUGUGAAAGCCCACGGCUCAACCGUGGAGGGUCAUUGGAAACUGGAAAACUUGAGUGCAGAAGAGGAAAGUGGAAUUCCAUGUGUAGCGGUGAAAUGCGCAGAGAUAUGGAGGAACACCAGUGGCGAAGGCGACUUUCUGGUCUGUAACUGACGCUGAUGUGCGAAAGCGUGGGGAUCAAACAGGAUUAGAUACCCUGGUAGUCCACGCCGUAAACGAUGAGUGCUAAGUGUUAGGGGGUUUCCGCCCCUUAGUGCUGCAGCUAACGCAUUAAGCACUCCGCCUGGGGA
Molecule: ribosomal RNA, 890 nt
Filed under: Staphylococcus aureus DAR5865
Lineage: Bacteria; Bacillati; Bacillota; Bacilli; Caryophanales; Staphylococcaceae
Description: bacterial SSU rRNA
Rfam family: Bacterial small subunit ribosomal RNA
Source: RNAcentral